This 140-nucleotide small nuclear RNA is filed under the name Carlito syrichta (Philippine tarsier). RNAcentral's name for it is "U2 spliceosomal RNA (ENSTSYG00000024404.2)". The stretch from base 1 to 104 matches the Rfam family "U2 spliceosomal RNA". Rfam says of the family: U2 is a small nuclear RNA (snRNA) component of the spliceosome (involved in pre-mRNA splicing). Complementary binding between U2 snRNA (in an area lying towards the 5' end but 3' to hairpin I) and the branchpoint sequence (BPS) of the intron results the bulging out of an unpaired adenosine, on the BPS, which initiates a nucleophilic attack at the intronic 5' splice site, thus starting the first of two transesterification reactions that mediate splicing. Lineage: Eukaryota; Metazoa; Chordata; Mammalia; Primates; Tarsiidae. The record is from RNAcentral.
AUCGCUUCUCGGCCUUUUGGCUAAGAUCAAGUGUAGUAUCUGUUCUUAUCAGUUUAAAAUCCAGUUCAUUCAUGAAUCCCUUAUUCUAAAACACUGUACCAUGAGAAAGGCUGGGUAUAUCUCAUCUCUGUCCAUGUUCA